Long non-coding RNA from Fukomys damarensis (Damara mole-rat), 3165 nucleotides. The record is from Ensembl. NCBI's taxonomy places the organism in Eukaryota, Metazoa, Chordata, Mammalia, Rodentia, Bathyergidae.
GAGGCUGUGGGGAAAAGGAACACUGCUAUGCCGUUGAUGAGAAUGUAAAGUAGCACAACCACUACAGAAAUCAGGAAGGAGAUUCCUCAAAAACCCAAAACUAGAAAUUCUAUUUGACCCAGCUAUUCGUCUUCUAGGUGUCUUUCCGAAAGAAUUAAAGACAUCAUGGUACAGUGAUCCAUGCAUACCCAUGUUUAUAGCAGCACGAUUCAUAAGCAUAAUUCAUGAUUCAUAAUCUUUGAAGCAACCCACAUGUCCACUAACAGAUGAAUGGAUAAAGAAAAUAUGGUAUUUACACGGAGAGGAGUACUACUCUGCUAUAGAAAGGAUAAACUUGGGUCAUUUGUAGGAAAGUGGUUGCACCUUGUGACCAUAAUGUUCAGUGAAAUAAAUGAGACAGACAAGCUUAAAUAUCACAUGAUAUAUCUCACAUGAGAAACCCAAACAUGAAAAAAAGCAAAGGAAAAGAUAGAUGAUAGGCAGUAGGGAGACAGAUCUUUCUCAAAUAGGAAGGAGAGGAAGAGACAAGGGGAGGCGGGAAAGGAAUCAGACGUAAAAAGAAAUAAGAUGUGUUAUGUACCUGUACCAAAUCCCAGUGAUGAAUACAAUCAUUGUAUACUGCAAACUUGUACUCAUAAAAAUAAAGGUUUUCAAAAAGGGAUUAAGAUCUCAGACUCUGGAGCCAGACUUCAAAUCUGAAGCUGGGCUCUGCCUCUUACUAGCCGUGUGAUCUUGGGAAAGUUACUUCACCUCUCUGUGUCCCCACAGAUAUCUGUACAAUGGAAAUAACGGCACAUCGCAGCCCACAGGGUUAAGGAGAGCACUCAGUGAGUUCAUACGCAGCCGGUGUUCAGAACUAAGUGUGGCAUGCAGCAGAAAAACGCCAGGUGCCGCCAAGAUACCGAUUCUCGCCACAAAAUGCCCACAUUCCUGAACCCGAGACCAGUUUCCUGUGGAUGGCGGAGCAAGGCCAGGCCAUGGAGUGAAUGUUCAGAUUCGAAUUGCACCUCGGUCUGCGUUAAGAAGCAGCACGGGUUGGGGCAAGUGGCAUCGCCUCCCUGAGCCUAGGCUUCCGCAUCUGUAGAGUGGAGACGACGCCGGCGUCACUGACCACUGUCUUGUAGGCUGGUUUUCAGGCUAGGAAUAACGUCUGCGAAGUGCUUGGCUCUGAGGAGGCACUGAGUCCCGGGUGGUCGGCAUGAGGAGGCGGGGACAGGCUUUGAUGUCCACAUCUUCUUCUGCCCCUGCCUCCCCCUCAGCUUCCUCACAAGGAACAGAGAGUUGGGGCCGCACAUGGCAUUCUCAAUGAUGCUGAAGGAACAAUUUGCUGUAGGUCACACGCCAAGGAAUGAGUGCAGGUCCAGUGAGGGAUCUCCGUGCUGGACCCAUCCUUGGCAGUAAGGAUACAGCCACCACUGAGGUGUGCGAGGCUCUGCUCUCCCAGCACCUGCGUUCUGGGGAGGUGGGCGCCCACCGACCAGUGAGCUCAGAGAAUAAGCCCCGUGCUUGCAGAGUGAGUGCUCAGUGAAACUCUCAGGAAGGGCAACGGAGGAAGCCAGCUAGUUGGUUUGUGCUUUGGUUUGAUAUUUUGGCAGUGAAGAUAUUCUAGUCUCUCUCACUUUGGAAAGAUUGGGGACUUGAGACACUUUUUCCCUGCUUAGUUUUGUUUGGUGCUGGGGAUCAAACCUAGGGCUUCAUUCAUGCUAAGCCAGCACUGAGCUACACCCCUAGCACAAGAAAUGUUUUCUUUUUUUAUCCAAGGAGGAAGAAGACUGAAGUCAAAUUAAAGGUCUAACUAUCACCUUAAAGCCUACCUCCACCAUCCAUGAGAUCUGUUCUCUCAUUUAGCAGGGCAGUGAUUCGUCUAGAAAAUGAUGGCAAACCUUUCAUAGCUUUCAGUAAUAACCAACAGCCCGCUGUGGCACGCAUGCUGUAGGUUCGCCACCACUGGUCUAGAAGAUCCUAAAUCAAGGUUCUCACAACCCUGCUCAGUUUGGCAUUAAUCAGAAUACUGAUGUGAGAAUUAACCAUGAUAUCAUUUUUACUUCUCCGCAGGCCUUUUUCUUUCUCUUCCCCUCUUAUUGAGAGCCACAUGCAGCUUGAUGCGUGAUGUAUGCGAGCAGUUCCUUUCCACCAUCCUAAAAAGGAGAGGUCACACCUUUGGCAAAAUGUCUGUACGUCUCUAUCUCUAUAAAGCUAAAUAGCAAUUGCAGUUUCUCAUAUGAUGAGCAAAAGGUGUUUCCCAGAGUUUAAACUAUCUAGUUUUAAGUUCACAAUUCACGGGCCAGGGAUUUAGCUCAGGGGUUCUGUCACCUGCCUAGCUAACACAAGGACCUGAGUUCCGUGCCUGGUACCAAAAAAUAAAAUAAAAUAAAUUCACAAUUCUUUGGAGAAAUGCAGAGAAGUAAAAUAAAUCUUCCCUUUUCCUCUUUAAAUUUAAUUAAUUAAUUUAUUUAUUUCUUUAGGUACUGGGGAUCAAACUCUGGCCUUUGUGCUUGCGAGGCAGGCAGUAGCACCACUGAGCUAAAUCCCCAGCCCAAUCUUCCUUUUUCUAUACAAGUGCCCCAGGGAGAACAGAACUGUGUGUAAAUAGCUGCAGGUGGUGAGUGACAGUAUUCCAAAGAGACCCACUAACUCCAGUUUUUCCAAGUGGGGUAUGAGCACAAGUGGAGCCUUAGUAAAUUCUGUUCCAUCUCCCGGACUGCCUGUUUCUUUCCUCCCUGCCCACAGCUAUUCACCUGAGGAAUUUCUCAUUUUCUUUCCAUUGCUCUGAAUCUGCCCUUUCUCUGGAAAGGCUCCUGCCGUCUCCCUCAGGCCGGGUCAGUUGUCUGCCUCUGUGUCCCCUAGCAACCCGAGUCUUUACAAAAUGAUUUAAAUAAUCUUUACUGCACCAUAUAAAUAAAGUUCUCUUUUGACCUUGGCCUCAAAUGCACUAAAUCAACUGAAAAAUAAUCCGUGGUUUUUCAUGCACUAUCAUCAUUGCUAUGGUUGACCUUGUUUAUAAACAGUAUUUUAUUGUAUCUGUGUGUUUAUCUAAACAUUACUGCCCAAUAGAACUAAAACACAAGCCGUGGAUGUAGCUUUAAAUUUUCUAGUAGAUCCAUUUUAAAACGUAAAAAGUAACUAAAAUUACUUUUACUAUUUUCUUAACCCGAUAUAUCCAAC